Molecule: transfer RNA, 64 nt
Filed under: Cavia porcellus (domestic guinea pig)
Lineage: Eukaryota; Metazoa; Chordata; Mammalia; Rodentia; Caviidae
Rfam family: tRNA
About the family: Transfer RNA (tRNA) molecules are approximately 80 nucleotides in length. Their secondary structure includes four short double-helical elements and three loops (D, anti-codon, and T loops). Further hydrogen bonds mediate the characteristic L-shaped molecular structure. tRNAs have two regions of fundamental functional importance: the anti-codon, which is responsible for specific mRNA codon recognition, and the 3' end, to which the tRNAs corresponding amino acid is attached (by aminoacyl-tRNA synthetases). tRNAs cope with the degeneracy of the genetic code in two manners: having more than one tRNA (with a specific anti-codon) for a particular amino acid; and 'wobble' base-pairing, i.e. permitting non-standard base-pairing at the 3rd anti-codon position.
Source: Rfam by way of RNAcentral
GGGGAUUUAGCUCAGCGGCAUAAGCACCUGCCUUGCAAGCAGGAGAUUAUGAGUUCAAUCCCUG